Molecule: long non-coding RNA, 884 nt
Organism: Cyprinus carpio (common carp)
Lineage: Eukaryota; Metazoa; Chordata; Actinopteri; Cypriniformes; Cyprinidae
Exons: 3
Source: RefSeq, a predicted model, not a curated record
CAUGGUUACAUUAACUUUAUUUGUUUUCAUAGCCUUUAAUAUGUAUUGUUUUGUUGGACAAAUUUGGGCGGUAAGUGAAAUAAAUAGAUAUUAAAUACAGAUUUUUUUUAAAUCCAAAUACAAAAACGAAAAUACAGAGGCAUAUAUCGGAUAUCACAAAUCGGCCAAAAAUACAGAGAUAUGAUUUUUUUUGCCCAUAUCUCCCAGCCCUAGUCACAGGUUUACCUUUUCAACAUAAUUACGUAUUACCUGAAGUCAUGGAUGUGAAGUCAGAGCAGUGCAAGGUGAACAUUUUUGUUUAUAAAGCAUACGUUUUUUUUUUUUUUUAGAAGAUGACCAAUCGUUUCGCUAGAUAAGACCAUUAUUCCUCGUCUGGUGUCGUGUAGAGCCCUAUGAAGCUGCACUGAAACUGUAAUUUUGAACUUCAACCAUUUGGUAGCCGUUGAAGUCCACUAUAAGAAGAAAAAAUUCUCAAAUGUUUUCAUCAAAAACCUUAAUUUCUUUUCGACUGAAGAAAGAAAGAGGUAAACAUCUUGGAUGACAUGGGGAAAGCAAGAGAGACCAAAGCCCACCUGGUAAUCGUCCCAACAUGAGUGAUCUGAGGAUUGUCCUGGUGGGGAACAACGUGACAGAAAACAACAGAGUGGGAAACUUAAUCUUCAAUAAAAAUGUGUUUGGAAAGAUAACACCACAACCUGAUGUGGAGACAUUCACGGAAAAAGUGGAGAGGAGAGACAUCACAGUCUUCAACACAACUCAGCUGCUCAAUGCAACACUCAGUCUUAAAGAAAUAGCACAAUACGUGUCCAAGUUGUCUCCUUCAGAGCCUCAUGUGAUCAUACUGGUGCUGCAGCUCAGUGAUUUUAGUCAGAAGAAUAGAGACA